AAAAUACUCCCUCCGUACGGAAAUACUUGUCGUAGAAAUGGAUAAUGAUGGAUGUAUCUAGAACUAAAACACAUCUAGAUACAUCCAUUUAUGUAACAAGUAUUUCCGGACGGAGGGAGUAGUUU
Triticum aestivum (bread wheat) is the source of this 125-nucleotide non-coding RNA. Lineage: Eukaryota; Viridiplantae; Streptophyta; Magnoliopsida; Poales; Poaceae. The record is from Rfam.